RNAcentral lists this ribosomal RNA (484 nucleotides) under uncultured bacterium. RNAcentral describes it as "partial 16S ribosomal RNA". It matches the Rfam family "Bacterial small subunit ribosomal RNA", at positions 30 to 507 of the family's 1533-position model. The record is from RNAcentral.
AUUGAACGCUGGCGGCAGGCCUAACACAUGCAAGUCGAGCGGAUGAAGGGAGCUUGCUCCUGGAUUCAGCGGCGGACGGGUGAGUAAUGCCUAGGAAUCUGCCUGGUAGUGGGGGAUAAUGUCCGGAAACGGGCGCUAAUACCGCAUACGUCCUGAGGGAGAAAGUGGGGGAUCUUCGGACCUCACGCUAUCAGAUGAGCCUAGGUCGGAUUAGCUAGUUGGUGGGGUAAAGGCCUACCAAGGCGACGAUCCGUAACUGGUCUGAGAGGAUGAUCAGUCACACUGGAACUGGGACACGGUCCAGACUCCUACGGGAGGCAGCAGUGGGGAAUAUUGGACAAUGGGCGAAAUCCUGAUCCAGCCAUGCCGCGUGUGUGAAGAAGGUCUUCGGAUUGUAAAGCACUUUAAGUUGGGAGGAAGGGCAGUAAGUUAAUACCUUGCUGUUUUGACGUUACCAACAGAAUAAGCACCGGCUAACUUCGUG